Molecule: ribosomal RNA, 785 nt
Filed under: Salmonella enterica subsp. enterica
Lineage: Bacteria; Pseudomonadati; Pseudomonadota; Gammaproteobacteria; Enterobacterales; Enterobacteriaceae
Also listed under: 1 other name
Description: bacterial LSU rRNA
Rfam family: Bacterial large subunit ribosomal RNA
Source: RNAcentral
GGGUUGUGAGGUUAAGCGACCAAGCGUACACGGUGGAUGCCCUGGCAGUCAGAGGCGAUGAAGGACGUGCUAAUCUGCGAAAAGCGCCGGUAAGGUGAUAUGAACCGUUAUAACCGGCGAUGUCCGAAUGGGGAAACCCAGUGUGACUCGUCACACUAUCAUUAACUGAAUCCAUAGGUUAAUGAGGCGAACCGGGGGAACUGAAACAUCUAAGUACCCCGAGGAAAAGAAAUCAACCGAGAUUCCCCCAGUAGCGGCGAGCGAACGGGGAGGAGCCCAGAGCCUGAAUCAGCAUGUGUGUUAGUGGAAGCGUCUGGAAAGGCGCGCGAUACAGGGUGAGAGCCCCGUACACAAAAGCGCAUAUGCUGUGAGCUCGAUGAGUAGGGCGGGACACGUGGUAUCCUGUCUGAAUAUGGGGGGACCAUCCUCCAAGGCUAAAUACUCCUGACUGACCGAUAGUGAACCAGUACCGUGAGGGAAAGGCGAAAAGAACCCCGGCGAGGGGAGUGAAACAGAACCUGAAACCGUGUACGUACAAGCAGUGGGAGCCUCUCUUUAUGGGGGGUGACUGCGUACCUUUUGUAUAAUGGGUCAGCGACUUAUAUUCUGUAGCAAGGUUAACCGCAUAGGGGAGCCGAAGGGAAACCGAGUCUUAAUUGGGCGUUAAGUUGCAGGGUAUAGACCCGAAACCCGGUGAUCUAGCCAUGGGCAGGUUGAAGGUUGGGUAACACUAACUGGAGGACCGAACCGACUAAUGUUGAAAAAUUAGCGGAUGACCUGUGGCU